GGAGAGAUGCCGGAGUGGUCGAACGGGCUAGUCUCGAAAACUAGAGUGCCUGUAUGGGUACCGAGGGUUCGAAUCCCUCUCUCUCCG
Molecule: transfer RNA, 87 nt
Filed under: Rubricoccus marinus
Lineage: Bacteria; Pseudomonadati; Rhodothermota; Rhodothermia; Rhodothermales; Rubricoccaceae
Rfam family: tRNA
About the family: Transfer RNA (tRNA) molecules are approximately 80 nucleotides in length. Their secondary structure includes four short double-helical elements and three loops (D, anti-codon, and T loops).
Source: Rfam by way of RNAcentral